GAAGAAAAGAAAUAAAAAGAAGAAAAAGAGGGAAAUGGGAAGAAAAGAGGGAAUGAAAAGAAAGAAAAGGGAAUCAUCCUCAUACUCCCUCCCGUAGCCAAAAUUAUCAGUAGAAUAAAAGAGAGAGAGAGAGAGAGAGAGAAAGAGAAAGAAAUAGAGAGAAUCAGAAGAAGAUGAAGAAGAAGGAAAAGAAGGAUGAAAGAAAAAGGAAUUUGAUAAAGAGGUAAUUUUAAAAUUUCUUAAUUUAUUUUCAAAUAUAAGUUUUCAUAAAUUUUAUAUGAAGAGAUUUUGUUUAUACUUGUUUUAGAUGAUUUAAACUUGUAUAAACAAGGAUCAAACGAGAUAACUCAAGAAAUCAAAAGAAGAACAAAAUCUGGAAAUUUUAAGAAAAAUUAGUUUACUACCUGAUUUUGUAAAAUCCAUAACUCUUUGUGUAUAAUGAGUUAGGAGAUGAGCCAUAUAUCAAAAGAAAGCCCUGGAAGUAAGCUAAGUGCAGAAAUUUGAAUCACCUAAAAAUUAUUUGUAGAUUUUUCGUGGUAAUAGUUUGAGUGAAAUUGGUCUGAAGGACUUAUAGUCCGAAAAAUCAGUUUUAUUAAGCUUUAUUGCAUGAGUUAUAAUUUUUAAUCCAACCAUUGGAUUGUUGUGAUUUUCGGAUAUGUUAUGCAUAUAUAAGUUGAGUAUAUGUCCACAAAUUUUGAACCGUUAAAGAUAAUAUAUAAUCUGUUGUGAAUUUAGUAAGGUGGCUGGUUCAAAAAUUAUCAAACAGAAUAUUUCGGUAAGCCUUUCUCUCUAUGUUAGAGUCAAAAUUUGGGAAAACUUUCUUCUACAAAGUUGUAGAGAAUUAAAUUUUAUAUGGAAGGACAUAAGAUCUGUAUUUUUUUCUGAUAAAGGUGCUAAUUAUUGUGAAUUAUUGAAAUUUCUGAAUAUUGGUGUUUAUAAUUAAUUUAUCAGAAAAAUUAUUUGGGUUGAAAUAUUUUUACAGAAUGCUUAUAAUAUCAUCUUAGAAUUUCUGUAAAAUUUUGAUGAAUUAUUGAAAAGCAGAAGUAAUUAUUGUAUUUUUAAACUAUUUAUAGUUAGUUUGAAAAUAGAAGAAAUUCAUAGAAAAUUCUAUGAAUGAUGAAAAAUUAUAAAACUUGGUGAAAAAUGGUAUAAUAUUGUUUUAUAAUUUUUGGGCUGUUUUGGAAAAUUAUUGAAUAACAGAAUUAUUUAUUGUAUUUUUAAGCUAUUUAUGGUUAAUUUAAAAAUAGAGGAAAUUCAUAGGAAAUUCUAUGAAUGGUGGAAAAUUAUGAUUUUUGAUGAAAAAUAUUAUAAUAAUAUAGGAUUAAUAUUGAUGAUGUUUUAAAGAUAUAAAAGUAUUUGGAGUUAGUAUAUCUAUUUUGAAGCUAUUAAAUGAUAGUUUUUAUAAAUGGAAAUAAAGUUGGUUUUAAACUUGUAUAUCUUUGGCCUGUAGUGCAAAGAUGGACUGUUGGUUAUUGAUUUUACAGUUGUAUAACUGUUGAUUUACUUGAUUAUAAAUAUGAAUUGUGAAUUUAAUUAUAAUCUGUGGUGGUUCAGGUGAACAAAGGUGAUGAGAGUUCUCUUUGUCUUUGGGUAUAACAAAGAACUGUUGAUGAAUAUUACAGGAAUGAAAUAUUAAUGAUGGACUUUUAAUCUAGAGGAGAUAGUAGACAUUAUGUUCUACUUGACUCUACUAAUGGAUUGUUGAUUCCACUGCUAUUAUGGUUGAAAACUUUUAUCUUCUACCAUAUGUUCUAAAUAUCUGAAUUAUUUUGGUAAUUUAAUUAUCUUAAGUCAUGAUAUUCUUUACUGGGCUAUUUGUGCUCACCCUUUUACUUCUCCACCCCUUUCAGGUAAUAAAAGUGUAGCUGGGACUAGCAGAGAGAACACGGGUAUAAAGUGGUGAUACGAAUUAGUCAUAAGCCUAAUAAAAUUAUGAAACGAUGUGGCAUAAUAAUUAUAUUGAGAACUUAAAAUGUGUGUGACAUAUUUUAUACAUCAUUUACUAAUUGAUUUUGGUGAACAACUAUAGGGUGAUGAGGACCCGACCUUGAAAGUGUCAAAAAUACACCGCAUUAAAAUGAGGAGAAUAGAAAUCUUCUAGUCUCCCUUGGAGACUUGAAUUAUUUGCUUCUGUACUUUAUAUGGC
This 2146-nucleotide long non-coding RNA is filed under the name Panax ginseng (ginseng). Its description in RNAcentral is "long non-coding RNA (PGIN_LNC017999)". The record is from RNAcentral. Lineage: Eukaryota; Viridiplantae; Streptophyta; Magnoliopsida; Apiales; Araliaceae.